This 345-nucleotide ribosomal RNA is filed under the name Clostridium sp. WB02_MRS01. RNAcentral describes it as "bacterial SSU rRNA". It matches the Rfam family "Bacterial small subunit ribosomal RNA", at positions 1 to 326 of the family's 1533-position model. The record is from RNAcentral. Lineage: Bacteria; Bacillati; Bacillota; Clostridia; Eubacteriales; Clostridiaceae.
UUUAAUUUGAGAGUUCGAUCCUGGCUCAGGAUGAACGCUGGCGGCGUGCUUAACACAUGCAAGUCGAGCGAAGCGAUUUCAAGGAAGUUUUCGGAUGGAAUUGAAAUUGACUUAGCGGCGGACGGGUGAGUAACGCGUGGGUAACCUGCCUCAUACAGGGGGAUAACAGUUGGAAACGGCUGCUAAUACCGCAUAAGCACACAGUGCCACAUGGUACAGUGUGAAAAACUCCGGUGGUAUGAGAUGGACCCGCGUCUGAUUAGGUAGUUGGUGAGGUAACGGCCCACCAAGCCGACGAUCAGUAGCCGACCUGAGAGGGUGACCGGCCACAUUGGGACUGAGACA